AUUGAACGCUGGCGGCAUGCCUUACACAUGCAAGUCGAACGGCAGCAUAGGAGCUUGCUCCUGAUGGCGAGUGGCGAACGGGUGAGUAAUAUAUCGGAACGUGCCCUAGAGUGGGGGAUAACUAGUCGAAAGACUAGCUAAUACCGCAUACGAUCUACGGAUGAAAGUGGGGGAUCGCAAGACCUCAUGCUCCUGGGGCGGCCGAUAUCUGAUUAGCUAGUUGGUGGGGUAAAAGCCUACCAAGGCGACGAUCAGUAGCUGGUCUGAGAGGACGACCAGCCACACUGGGACUGAGACACGGCCCAGACUCCUACGGGAGGCAGCAGUGGGGAAUUUUGGACAAUGGGGGCAACCCUGAUCCAGCAAUGCCGCGUGAGUGAAGAAGGCCUUCGGGUUGUAAAGCUCUUUUGUCAGGGAAGAAACGGUAGUAGCGAAUAACUAUUACUAAUGACGGUACCUGAAGAAUAAGCACCGGCUAACUACGUGCCAGCAGCCGCCGUAA
This 502-nucleotide ribosomal RNA is filed under the name uncultured bacterium. RNAcentral's name for it is "partial 16S ribosomal RNA". It matches the Rfam family "Bacterial small subunit ribosomal RNA", at positions 30 to 523 of the family's 1533-position model. The record is from RNAcentral.